RNAcentral lists this ribosomal RNA (497 nucleotides) under uncultured bacterium. RNAcentral describes it as "partial 16S ribosomal RNA". It matches the Rfam family "Bacterial small subunit ribosomal RNA", at positions 28 to 507 of the family's 1533-position model. The record is from RNAcentral.
GAUGAACGCUGGCGGCGUGCCUAAUACAUGCAAGUCGAGCGAACGGACGAGGAGCUUGCUUCUCUGAUGUUAGCGGCGGACGGGUGAGUAACACGUGGAUAACCUACCUAUAAGACUGGGAUAACUUCGGGAAACCGGAGCUAAUACCGGAUAAUAUUUUGAACCGCAUGGUUCAAAAGUGAAAGACGGUCUUGCUGUCACUUAUAGAUGGAUCCGCGCUGCAUUAGCUAGUUGGUAAGGUAACGGCUUACCAAGGCAACGAUGCAUAGCCGACCUGAGAGGGUGAUCGGCCACACUGGAACUGAGACACGGUCCAGACUCCUACGGGGGGCAGCAGUAGGGAAUCUUCCGCAAUGGGCGAAAGCCUGACGGAGCAACGCCGCGUGAGUGAUGAAGGUCUUCGGAUCGUAAAACUCUGUUAUUAGGGAAGAACAUAUGUGUAAGUAACUGUGCACAUCUUGACGGUACCUAAUCAGAAAGCCACGGCUAACUACGUG